GAUGAACGCUGGCGGCGUGCCUAACACAUGCAAGUUGAGCGAUCUUCUUCGGAAGAGAGCGGCGGACGGGUGAGUAACGCGUGAGGAACCUGCCUUGGAGUGGGGAAUAACACAGUGAAAAUUGUGCUAAUACCGCAUAAUGCAGUUGGGUCGCAUGACUCUGACUGCCAAAGAUUUAUCGCUCUGAGAUGGCCUCGCGUCUGAUUAGCUAGUUGGUGGGGUAACGGCCCACCAAGGCGACGAUCAGUAGCCGGACUGAGAGGUUGGCCGGCCACAUUGGGACUGAGACACGGGCCCAGACUCCUACGGGAGGCAGCAGUGGGGAAUAUUGGGCAAUGGGCGCAAGCCUGACCCAGCAACGCCGCGUGAAGGAAGAA
This 377-nucleotide ribosomal RNA is filed under the name uncultured bacterium. Its description in RNAcentral is "bacterial SSU rRNA". It matches the Rfam family "Bacterial small subunit ribosomal RNA", at positions 28 to 412 of the family's 1533-position model. The record is from RNAcentral.